RNAcentral lists this long non-coding RNA (2959 nucleotides) under Cavia porcellus (domestic guinea pig). Its description in RNAcentral is "lncRNA (ENSCPOG00000030223.1)". Lineage: Eukaryota; Metazoa; Chordata; Mammalia; Rodentia; Caviidae. The record is from RNAcentral.
UGCACUAUACAAUAGAAAUAAAUAUCUUAUUCGUUCUAGAUCUAUAGAAGUUAUAUUAAUUUUUUUUUCAGGCCUCGACUCUUCCCUUUCUCUUCAGUCAAGGAAGCAGUCACUUUUUGCCAGACUGGAAAAUAUUAUUGUUACAGAUGUUGAUCCUAAGACAGUUCAUAACAAAGCUGUGUCAAUAAUGGGAAAUGAAGUUUUUCGUUUUAACUUGGAUUUGUACCCAGAUGCGACUGAAGGGGAUUCAUACACUGACAUGUCCAAAGUGGAUGGCGUGGUGUUGCUGAAUGUUGGCUGCAUUCAGAUUGUCUAUCUUCAUAAGUUCCUUGUGUCCCUUUUGAACUUCCUGAACAAUUUCCAGACAGCCAAAGAGGCCCUGAGCGCAGCCACCGCGCAGGCUGCAGAAAAGGCCGCCACCAGUGUGAAAGACCUUGCCCAGCGGAGUUUGCGCUUCUCUGUCAGCAUUAAUUUGAAAGCACCCGUUAUUGUCAUCCCACAGUCUUCUGUUUCCAGCAACGCUGUUGUGGUGGACCUUGGUUUGAUCAGAGUUCAGAACCAGUUCAGUCUUGUGUCUGGGGAAGGGUCUGUAAAUCCUCCUGUGAUUGAUAGAAUGGAUGUGCAGCUCACGGACCUGAAGCUGUCCAGGACAGUAAUCCAACCAGGCACCUCCCAGCCUGAUAUUCAGCUGUUGCACCCAAUUAACUUUGAGUUUUUUGUAAAUCGAAAUCUCGCUGCAAAUUGGUAUCAUAAGGUACCUGUUGUGGAAAUUAAAGGACAUCUUGAUACAAUGAAUGUUUGUCUAAAUCAAGAAGAUCUUAAUGUUUUGUUUAGAAUACUGUCGGAAAAUCUUGGUGAAACUCCUGAAGAGUUAGAUAACGUGAAACCAAGAGUACCAGAGACAGGUGAAAUCAAAGAUGCCCCUGAAAUUUCUACAUCACAGAGAUUACAAGCUUCAAAAGAUGCUUCAAGAGCUGAAAGAGAAGAAAUUAGAUCUGUAAACAUUGUUAAUGUACUGCUGAAUUUUGAAAUUAAAGAGGUUAUGGUGAUGCUGAUGAAAAAGGCGGAAAAGAGUGGGAGGCCAGUGCACGAGCUCAGUGUCCUGCAGCUUGGAGUGGAAGCUAGAGUUCAAGCUUAUGCCGUGACUGCUGAAGCUUAUCUCCAGCAAGUCAGCAUGCGGUGCCUGGAUUUCACUGAUGCAGAAGGAGGCCCUCUGCACAUCGUGCGCUCCUCUUGUGUGACUAAGGAGCCGCUCCUGAAGUUGGCCUUGACCAAGGCAGACAGUGAUGGACCGGAAUUUAAAACUGUUCAUGACAAUACCAAACAGAGACUAAAGGUUUCAUUUUCAUCCUUAGACAUAUUACUUCAUUUAGAAGCUUUACUUUCCCUUAUGGAUUUUUUGUCAUCGGCCGUUCCAUCCUCUGAGUCGUCUUCUAGGAAGGAAUCUGAGCUAAAACCACUUGUAGGGGAGUCCAGAAGUAUUGCCAUCAAAGCUGUAUCUGGCACCAUUUCUAAAGAGGAUAUGUUCGAUUUAAAGGUUACAGCUGAAUUAGAUGCUAUUAAUGUUGUUGUCUGUGAUCAGAAGUGUUCUAUAGCUGAUGUUAAAAUACAUGGAAUGGACGCCUCUGUUUCUGUGAAGCCAAAACAGACUGAUAUGUUUGCCAGACUUCAGAAUAUCAUAGUAACAAAUGUUGAUUUGAAGUCCAUUCACAAAAAGGCUGUCUCCAUCUUGGGAGAGGAAGUCUUCCGGUUCCAGAUGACUCUGUAUCCAGACGCCACAGAAGGAGAAGCCUAUGCCGACGUGUCUAAAGUAGAUGGCAGACUUAGUCUCAAAGUGGGUUGUAUUCAGAUCGUUUACGUUCAUAAAUUCUUCAUGUCUCUGUUGAAUUUCCUCAACAACUUCCAAGCUGCCAAGGAAGCUUUGAGCAUGGCUACCAUGCAGGCUGCAGAGAGAGCUGCUUCUAGUGUGAGGGACUUGGCCCAGAAGAGCUUCCGCCUUGCGAUGGAUGUGGACCUGAAAGCACCGGUUAUUAUUAUCCCUCAGUCUUCAGUGUCGUCCAACGCUGUGGUGGCAGAUCUCGGCUUAAUCAGCGUGGAAAACAGCUUUAGUUUGCUUCCUGCAGAACGUUACCCUUUCCCUCCAGUCAUUGAUAAAAUGAAGGUCCAACUCACUCAAUUGAAGCUGUCCAGAACUAUCUUGCAAGCUGACUUGCCACAGGAUGACAUUGAAAUCUUAAAACCAGUAAACAUGCUUUUGUCUAUACAACGAAACUUAUCAGCAACCUGGUACAUGGAAAUUCCCGGGAUCGAGAUAAAAGGAAAGUUAAAACCUAUGCAGGUUGCUCUCAGUGAAGAUGACCUAACAGUUCUAAUGAAAAUUUUGCUGGAAAAUGUUGGGGAAGCUUCUCCACAGCCAAGCCCUGCACUGUCUGCUCAGGAGGCUGUGAGAGUGAGGAAAGAUAUUCCAAGUGGACCAGACUACCUGAGAGAACAAGAAGAUUUGACAGACUUCUUUGGACCAGACCGUCACACUCCAAUUUGACUUUCAUUUUGCAUCUCUGUCCAUUAUCCUUUAUAACAGUGACGUCAGUCAGGAGUCCAAACUUGCAUUUCGUAAUGAUAGUUUUCGUCUCGGUGAGCUCAGACUGUACCUGAUGGCCUCUGCAGGGAAGAUGUUCAAGGAUGGCUCAGUGAAUGUCAGCCUUAAGCUGAAGACAUGCACGCUUGAUGACCUCAGAUAAGGCAUCGAGAGAGCCACGUCCAGGUCUGUCAGUUCGCAGGGUGCUGGAUGCCACUCACGGCUAACCCUGAACCUGGCAUCACUGCAGGCUUUGCUGUGCUUGGGUUCUUCAAAAAAUAUUUGUGUCUUUUUGGUCAGACCUUUAAUCUGAAUUGCAUCAAGAAGUAAUGCUAAUAUCAGAUUCAGCUGCUGGGAUGGUUAUAUUAAAUGAAAGUUUAU